GUGCCCACCUCUGAAGCAUGUAUACUAAAAUUGGAACAAUACAGAGAUUAGCAAGGCCCCUGUGCAAGGAUGGCAUGCAAAUUCAUGAAGCAUUUUAUAUUUUG
Molecule: non-coding RNA, 104 nt
Organism: Canis lupus familiaris (dog)
Lineage: Eukaryota; Metazoa; Chordata; Mammalia; Carnivora; Canidae
Source: Rfam